Cephus cinctus (wheat stem sawfly) is the source of this 1723-nucleotide long non-coding RNA. RefSeq lists it as uncharacterized. NCBI's taxonomy places the organism in Eukaryota, Metazoa, Arthropoda, Insecta, Hymenoptera, Cephidae. The transcript has 5 exons. The record is from RefSeq and is a predicted model, not a curated record.
CGACUACGGUCGGUUGCGCAAACACUUGCUAAACGAUCUUUUCCAAGAACGCCGAAUUUUUACAUGAGAAUCGUUUAAGCCUGAAACAAGUUUAUAUUGUCGUCACACUCCAAUCAAACAUUGCCAAUACACACGUGCGUCCAUCCACGACGUCGUCGUCGUCGUUUCACAAAGUUGGAGCGACAGUUCGGUUCUAGAAACGCAAAAUUAGCCAGACGUUUUAGCUAUCACAAAGACACAAUAGAAUUCGUUGUUUCCGGAAUGUGGCAUGUGGCUGGAAGACUCGAUGAUUUUCCGAAACAACGAAUUUCCAUACGAGGAGUACCUGCUCUCCGGUUCUAAGUGGUCGCCAUUUGAUGACGGUUAUUACCAUGAUGCGCUGUUUCCUGCGACCCCGUGCGUUUCCUUAUUAUAUAAUAUACUCGUUUACACAGAAUAUUAUUGUCCGCAAAUACAUCAUUACUGUCGGAAACCAUCGAGCCAUUACGAGCGCCUUGCGUGAUGCGCAAAGAAGAUUUUUCAGUCGUAAUUUCGAGCCUGUUGAAUCUCAUCGGAAUGUGGGAAUGAGAAAAAAUAAAAAUUUCACACAGUGAAAGUUUUCAGUAAUCUGACUGCGGCGUCCAUCCAUGGCUGAGACAGGUACAGGUCGUUCCUGGAGCAUCACGGAGGCUGUAGGUAAUAAUAUAAUUCGAUUGGAGGAACGAGCAAGCGAGUGAGCGAACGAGCGAGCCAAUAAGAGGCUCCCUUUAAUCGGGUUACUUCGUUACUGCGUUACUCCGUUACUCUCCGAGGUGAUAUCAGCGGAAUAUCAAUUAUAGUGAUUAACCAAGACGCCGAGGUUGGGUGCAAACUUCUGGAAUCCCUUGAGGACCGAGAGUGAGCGAACGGAAGGUGGAAAUUGGCGAAUGAGUGAGAAGGACGGAAGAAAAGUUGUAAGAAAGCCUAUAAACAUAGAGAAAGAGUGAGAGAGAAGAGACGAUCGAGUGGUACGAGAAGGGUAUGGAGGUACAAAGAGAGAAUAAGGAAGAUAAGGAUAGAAAGUAAAAAGACGAAGAGAAUCGAGAGCGAAAAACAUCUUUUGUCUGUCGCAAAUUAGCGACGGAUAUUCAAAUAGUCUCUGUUGCCGCCAAGAAUUUCAAUGACUUCAAAGGUGUCGGCGUCAGUGAAAAAAAGAAAUAGGAUUUUCGUGCAACAAAGAAAAUCGCGUAAAUUUUAAUCAAUGGCGACGAAUAGAAUUCGCGACGAUUUUGAUGUGAUUUUUAUUUUUGAAAAUUUUUGAAAUCACACCAAAAGGGUUCCCGCCAAUUUGUUACGGUCACGUGACUCCAUUUUCUAUUAGCCCUCGGGGCCUUCUUCGUUCUAUUAUAAUGCGAAAUCGGAUGCCUCGGGGCCUUAAGGCCACCUAGUGUCCCCAUAGCUGCUCCAGCUGUCCAUCCACGAGCAUUGUGCCCAAUUAAGGUUAACCAACCGUAAACGCUCAGAGUCUAAUUGACAAAUUCAAUUUGAUCACGACAAUACCUACGCCCAAUGAUUAUCGUUCCAAUGACGAUCGUCAAUUCGGAGCUUUCCAAAAAUUAUCCAAAAAUCCGUCUUAUACCUACAGAAUUCGCCACGGACGUCGAUUAUACCAUAUAAAAUCACUGUAUGAUAUUACCAACCGGGUAUACGAAGUAUAGGAAAUGAUUAUCCUUUGAAUAAACCAGUAGACCCACAAUAACGAAAA